AAGGAUGAGAAGCUUCGACCAAGGUUCGAUUCGAGCGCAGCGAGAAAGCGUUGCCGCAAGCAACGACCCGAAGGGCGAAGCGCGCAGCGCUGAGUCAUCCUU
This 102-nucleotide small RNA is filed under the name Salmonella enterica subsp. enterica serovar Brunei. RNAcentral describes it as "RtT sRNA". It matches the Rfam family "RtT RNA", at positions 18 to 118 of the family's 130-position model. From Rfam's summary of the family: This family represents a bacterial cis-regulatory element known as RtT RNA. The exact function of RtT is unknown although it is thought that it may be involved in changing the cellular response in relation to amino acid starvation. The record is from RNAcentral. Lineage: Bacteria; Pseudomonadati; Pseudomonadota; Gammaproteobacteria; Enterobacterales; Enterobacteriaceae.